This 428-nucleotide ribosomal RNA is filed under the name uncultured Pseudomonas sp. RNAcentral describes it as "bacterial SSU rRNA". It matches the Rfam family "Bacterial small subunit ribosomal RNA", at positions 957 to 1382 of the family's 1533-position model. The record is from RNAcentral. Lineage: Bacteria; Pseudomonadati; Pseudomonadota; Gammaproteobacteria; Pseudomonadales; Pseudomonadaceae.
CAACGCGAAGAACCUUACCAGGCCUUGACAUGCAGAGAACUUUCCGGAGAUGGAUUGGUGCCUUCGGGAACGUCUGACACAGGUGCUGCAUGGCUGUCGUCAGCUCGUGUCGUGAGAUGUUGGGUUAAGUCCGUAACGAGCGCAACCCUUGUCCUUAGUUACCAGCACGUUAUGGUGGGCACUCUAAGGAGACUGCCGGUGGACAAACCGGAGGAAGGUGGGGAGUGACGUCAAGUCAUCAUGGCCCUUACGGCCUGGGCUACACACGUGCUACAAUGGUCGGUACAAAGGGUUGCCAAGCCGCGAGGUGGAGCUAAUCCCAUAAAACCGAUCGUAGUCCGGAUCGCAGUCUGCAACUCGACUGCGUGAAGUCGGAAUCGCUAGUAAUCGUGAAUCAGAAUGUCACGGUGAAUACGUUCCCGGGCCUU